RNAcentral lists this ribosomal RNA (423 nucleotides) under uncultured bacterium. RNAcentral describes it as "bacterial SSU rRNA". It matches the Rfam family "Bacterial small subunit ribosomal RNA", at positions 355 to 775 of the family's 1533-position model. The record is from RNAcentral.
UAAGGAAUAUUGGGCAAUGGACGGAAGUCUGACCCAGCCAUCCCGCGUGCAGGAUGACGGCCCUACGGGUUGUAAACUACUUUUAUAUGAGAAGAAACGCCUGAAUUUAUUCGGGCCUGACGGUAUCUUAUGAAUAAGCACCGGCUAACUCCGUGCCAGCAGCCGCGGUAAUACGGAGGGUGCAAGCGUUAUCCGGAAUCACUGGGUUUAAAGGGUGCGUAGGCGGCAUGAUAAGUCAGAGGUGAAAGUUCCCGGCUCAACCGGGAGACUGCCUUUGAUACUGUUGUGCUUGAAUCAGGUUGAGGUUGGCGGAAUGUGACAUGUAGCGGUGAAAUGCUCAGAUAUGUCAUAGAACACCAAUUGCGAAGGCAGCUGACUGGACCUGUAUUGACGCUGAGGCACGAAAGCGUGGGGAGCAAACAG